UCAGGCUAAAGUCCGGCGAGCGACGCGCGGCGGGGCGGCGGGAGGAAACGCGGCGCCGGGCCGGGCCCUGGAGAUGGUCCCCGGCGCCGCGGGCUGGUGUUGUCUCGUGCUCUGGCUCCCUGUGUGCGUCGCGGCCCACGGCUUCCGUAUCCAUGAUUAUUUGUACUUUCAAGUGCUGAGUCCUGGGGACAUUCGAUACAUCUUCACAGCCACACCUGCCAAGGACUUUGGUGGUAUCUUUCACACAAGGUAUGAGCAGAUUCACCUUGUCCCUGCUGAACCUCCAGAGGCCUGCGGGGAACUCAGCAACGGUUUCUUCAUCCAGGACCAGAUUGCUCUGGUGGAGAGGGGCUACAUGAUCCGCCGCUCUCUGGAACAGCAUGGGCUGCCAUGGGCCAUAAUUUCCAUCCCAGUCAAUGUCACCAGCAUCCCCACCUUUGAGCUGCUGCAACCGCCCUGGACCUUCUGGUAGAAGAGUUUGUCCCACAUUCCAGCCAUAAGUGACUCUGAGCUGGGAAGGGGAAACCCAGGAAUUUUGCUACUUGGAAUUUGGGGAUAGCAUCUGGGGACAAGUGGAGCCAGGUAGAGGAAAAGG
RNAcentral lists this small RNA (595 nucleotides) under Pongo abelii (Sumatran orangutan). RNAcentral describes it as "processed transcript". The record is from RNAcentral. Lineage: Eukaryota; Metazoa; Chordata; Mammalia; Primates; Hominidae.